This 3978-nucleotide unclassified non-coding RNA is filed under the name Hevea brasiliensis (rubber tree). The record is from RNAcentral. Lineage: Eukaryota; Viridiplantae; Streptophyta; Magnoliopsida; Malpighiales; Euphorbiaceae.
AAAGAAUUAUGAAAUUUCUCCUUCAAAGAAUCAUGGAAUUUCUUCAUCCUUUUUAGUAAGAAUGUGAUCAUAGAGAUGAAUAUGCUUAUCAGUUAGAAAUAAACUCAAUUACAAUAAUUUUACUACAUUAUAUAAAUAUUAAACAGAGAAUAACAAUAGUAAAUUAACACCAGUUAGAGGCAAAGUUCCCUCCUACAACAACAAAUAACUCAACACCAUAUUUGAUAUUGCUUUUUUUUUUUUUUGGAACUUGAUAUUGCUAUUUAAAAUAUAUAUUAUUGAGCUAGAAAGUCUUCGCUCGCACUUCACCCAAUGAGCUUAGGAGAAACAGUUAACUGCAUGCAUCUACACUUCAAUCUUCAUUCUGUCACCACACCAGCUGAAGGCCGCCACACCAGCUUAAGAAGAUGUUAGUUGCUCUAUAGAAUCUGCGGUUUACUCCUAAAUCAUGAGCCUUGCUAACUAUGAUAAUCAUCACCUAAGCUGCUCUCUCUUUUAUCAUCACCUCUGAAAGUGCCAUCAGCUACAUGCUUGAAUAGGUCUUGUUGUGUGAGAAAAGGCUGCUGGUGCGUGCCUGAUAUGAGUUUCAUAAUUGGGUAUAGGCAACACUGUUUCAAAAGCUUCAACAAGUAGUGCCACCUUCCUCUUCCUAGCUGGAGCAAGUUUGGUGACAGCUUGUCGGAGUGCAUAAUCAAGCAUCCAUUCCUCAGCAUUUUUCCUGUCAUCCAUGAUCUGAUGCCUGAGAUCAACCUUCUCUGCCUCUGGGUCAGGAACAAGAGGAAGGAAAUUUGGUUCCCUUGGGUUGAAUUUCCGCUCUUCCUCUAAGUCCAUGAUGGGUUUCUUGCAUUUGAUCAUCCAUUUCCCAUUGUUAAAGGCACAGGCAUGUACUUGGCUGGAAUUGCUUCCUUUGUGAAGGAAUUUGCUCCUUGACCCUGCACUAAUUCCAUCAGCGGCUGCAAAGAUUGUUUCUGCUGUAUCUAACUGAUUGCAAACUUCCACCUCCAUCUUCUCAACUUGUCCUGUGUGGAAUCUGGCUGAACUGAUUUGAAAUAUGCUUGAAUCAAUCUGCUCCUCAGAAUUAUUGGAAGUUUGGACUUUGAAUUUGUUAGCCCCACCUUGAUAUUCCCCCAAUAAGUUCUGGUUAUCAUUCUGGCCAUCCUUAGCUAGAAUGUGUUGACCGAGAAGCUGUUCACUUGAACUGCUGUCUUCGGCAGUUAUCUGGUUGUGGUUGUCAUUGUCCUCAGUGUCAUCUUGAUCAGCUUCAGAGGAACUCUGAGAUGAAUCAGAAAUUUGUAUACUCAUGGACAAUUCGUCAUUGGAAACUUGCUUUUCUUCUAUACUGGAAGCAAUGAUGGCCAUAUUUUGAUCACUUUCCAUCUCCCUGGACAUCUGGACUUCAUUUGUUUCAGCAUUGCCCAUCUCAUCAAAACUCUGAGAAUAAACAAUUUGACCUUGAAGCAACUCAAUUUUGUCUUCAGCUUGAAGCGAUUUAUCUUCUUGGUAACCAUUCAAAGCUUCGGUUGUUAUGCUGCUAUUGCAAUCUUUUUCAGCAUCCCUAAGCCGAGGAUUCUUUUCAAAGAUACCAUGCUCUGUUUCAUAAACUCCAUCCUCCUGAUUAUUCUCAUCAACUGCUGUUGAUUCCACAAUUGGCUCCUCCACUGAAGCUGAAGCAGUCACAGCACCAGUCGAAUCUUUCUCAGCAUCUUCACUCUUCUCUUCCACUGCUGUUGGUUCCUCAAAUGCAUAUUCAAUGGAAGAAACUUGUUCGUCAUAAGUUAAAUCACCAUCUGCUCGGGUAUCUUCAUGGAUCUCCCAAGUCUGCAGUGUACCUUCACUUUCGGAAUCACUAUCAAUCCAAUGUGUGUCAAAGGAGGCAGGUUCUUCUUCUAGGAGUUCUUUCAAUACCUCAUCAGCUAGAAUCUCCUCAGUGCAGUUGCUAACUGUGUCAUCUGAUCUAAUGUUCUCAGGUUCUUCAGUCAAAUUAAACUUCUUGAUGUCUGACAGGCAAUCAUCCCUGAUACAAGAUUCUUUGUCAGACUUGUCCAAAUAAUGAACUUCUGCAUCAAACCCUGAUGUGGAAAAUUGCUCCUCCUCCCACUCCAUUUCGCUAGCAUUAGAAAUGCUGUCAUCUUCCUCCAUGCUUGCAUGGACCUCUUCAAUGUGACUCUCGUUGUCACGCCUUUCUGUUCUUCCUUCUUCUUGGAACAAAAUGGGUGGGUAUUCUGCAUCCACAUCUUCUGCUUUUUGUUCUUCAAUAACGUCCUCUGUCAUCCAAAUCUCAGCCGGAUAGCUAUAAUUUUUCUGUCCAUAGUUUUCCUCGAAAUCAGUCUCCAGGUGUGGUGAUGCAUCCAACAGGUUCCCAUCAACUUGCUCCAUGUUCUCUUGUUCAGCUGCUGCUUCUUCGCCACCAUGGAAAAAGCACUCGCUGUCCCCUUUGUUGGGUUCUCCAGCAAAACCGAUGUUGCUCUCAUCAUCCUCCACUGUGUGCUUUUCAGUUGCUUCAGGGCCAACUGCUGUAUUUUUGGCAUAGAUUUCAACAAAGAAAUCCACAUCCACUUCUUUUACCACUGGAAUUGUUGCUGAGUCAAUUGAAUCUGCUUCCUUAUGUGGUGGUUUGUCAUCAGAGAAAAUUAGUAGUUGACUUCUAAUUUCUUCUGUUCCAUCACCAAACGUCUUAGCUCUGCGUGGGGAUAAAGCCUCCAAUUUUGCACUCUUUUGGACCUUGAGUGAACGCCUUCUUGCCUUCAAGAAGCACUUCAAUGGAGGCAAAGGACUGUGAUGAUGACCGUUAAGAGAGCAGUAGGUGUACGGACAGACCUUCAGGACUGAAGUUCCUUCUGCCUCGUUACCCCCAGGAUUGAGCAUGAGAUAAGCAGGAAACUUCGAGUCCUUCAGAGUUGAAGAACAGGUGGCUUUCUGUGAAUCCAUAUCUGCACAUAGAGCUACCCUGGAACAUUUUUUUGCAGCACUUCUCACUGGCUUAAAACUGGGAGACUUUGUUAAAGUUCUCACCAGCUUCAAACUAGAUGACCUGGUUAAUGUUCCCGUUGGUCUACUACUUGAAGCAGAGCUAAGUUUUGAAUUACUUGAAUUUCUUCGACGCAGGUUCUUACAAUCCCUAGCUGUUGUAGUAUUCAAGGAACUCACCUGAGAACGCUCCUUUCUUGCCUCAGAACUGGUAGUAGCCUUCAUGUAAUUUGGUGAUCCACCAGUUGUUCUGAUCAUAGGCUGCUGCAUCUGUGGGGUUGCUGCAGUGGUUGAAGCAUUGAGAGUUGGUGGCUUUCCAGGCUGGGACAUGGUUUUCCUCAAAGGUGAUGAAUCCAAGCUCUCAAUAUCUGAAAGCUUGAUUGAUCUUGACCUUUUCAUUUUCUUCUUCAUAUCGGGUCCUCUGUUCUUGCCAUCCUGGUGCUGGCAAGAGGUUGGUUUGAGGUUCCCCAGCAGCUUCUCGGAUUUAACAUGAUCAGCUUGGAUUCCAAGCUUGCUGGGUACCUUUCUUUGUACCAUCUUCAAAGAAAAUCAAGAAACAUGGAUCAAAGCCGAAGGUUAAAGGUAUAGGUUUUGUCACCUUGGAGAUGGAGGUAUGAAGCCAUGGAAGAAAAGCAGUUUCCUUGCGGUUUGUGUUGGGAUGAAAAAAGAAAAACAAGAAGAAUAGGAUAAUGGAAAAGCUUAUCAAAAACUUGAAAAACAAACAAGUUGAGAUUCUUCUUGGUUUAUUUUAUUUUGUCUUUCAGUGGGUGGCCCUUUGGUUAACUUUAAACAGCGAUUGAGCAUAUCAAAUUUGAAUAAGGCUGGGAUAGGAGUUUGAUGCUGACUUCGUUCACAGGUGGUUUAGGUCCAUUUGUUUAGGCAUUUUCUGAACUGAAUUGUUAAGUGUGUGUCAUAGUAAUGCUACACAUGGCGCUGACUGAAUUUUUUAUGCCUUCCCAAACGCUGUAAAGAAUUGAAUUGGAUGUUAGUUAUCGGAUUGCAAUAUCUUUU